This 1078-nucleotide long non-coding RNA is filed under the name Daucus carota (carrot). Its description in RNAcentral is "long non-coding RNA (DCAR_LNC006669)". The record is from RNAcentral. Lineage: Eukaryota; Viridiplantae; Streptophyta; Magnoliopsida; Apiales; Apiaceae.
UUCAUUCAUCAACAAAAUAAUUUCAUCUGGUGGUCCAAGAAACGAGCCUAAGAAUUCAAAUCUUAAUGUUUUCUCAUCUUCACCGGAGAUUGGUUCAGCAUCCAGAGAGUUUCAAAGUUGGUUGUUUACCAAUCAUAAUCAUUUUUCUCAUUCUCAGCCAGAAAUUCAAGUGCAGGUCCUUUCUUCACAGAAGCCGUUCUGUAAAGAGCAUAAAUUCCUGCACAAAGAUAAGUGAUUAGUGAAACAGGUCACUAUAAAUACUCCAUUCAUGAUUAAUGUUCUUAUUUCUAUUUACGACUUAUACAAUUGCCGGAAAGUAAAAAUAGAAUUUGAUGGCUGGCUGACAUGUAGAGUUGAUGAUAUAUCCAUUAAGAUUUACACUAAUGUGGCCAUCUGGGUAAUGAUAUUAGAAUAAGAGUAUAGGUGCCUCAUACUCAAUGUGCCUCUGUCAGUUCAUUCUGUAACUAAUUUUGUAUCGCUUUCUGUGGACCUAGCAUUUCUCAAUUAAAUUAGCCACCUAUAUCUGAUUACCUUUUGGAUACAUAGAAAAUCAUAAAUCCAAUUUAUAGUUGUACUUAUGUUGUGAGACCUUUGAAUCUGAGACUGUCGAUUAUUGUUGAGGUUUGCACAUAUCGAUGCAAUGGAAAAUUAAAAUUUAAGCAGAAAACGAUAUAUAAAGCUGAGAAUCCAUGCGACACAUGUUUAUUAAGAAGGUCGGAAACUUGCCAGUUGAAGUGAAUAAGCAAGAUGUAGGAGGAGUACGAAAGAGCAAUGAAUCACUACACAGAGUUUUGCUCUAUGACCAAUUUAUUGAAUACACCAACAGCUAGUUGUUCAUAGUGACAACUGACUUAAUAUGUUUAUAGGAUAGAAUAGUAGUUCAAUCUUGAGAAGGAUCUCAGCGCACAUUUCUUCUACUUAACCGGACUUUAAGACCAUAUUUCAUUUCCAGAACAACAGAAUCGCGAGGGACUAUGGGAUGACCUUCAGUCACUUGUAUUUUGUAAUUGUAUAUCAUGGUUGUGGCAACAAUCUUCAUCUGAGUGAACGACAUUUCCUUGCCUAAACAAUAUCUUGG